UAGUUCAAUGGCAAAGUACAUGUUUGGUAUGCAUGAGGCCCUGGGUUCAAUUCCCAG
RNAcentral lists this transfer RNA (57 nucleotides) under Rattus norvegicus (Norway rat). It matches the Rfam family "tRNA", at positions 8 to 63 of the family's 71-position model. From Rfam's summary of the family: Transfer RNA (tRNA) molecules are approximately 80 nucleotides in length. Their secondary structure includes four short double-helical elements and three loops (D, anti-codon, and T loops). Further hydrogen bonds mediate the characteristic L-shaped molecular structure. tRNAs have two regions of fundamental functional importance: the anti-codon, which is responsible for specific mRNA codon recognition, and the 3' end, to which the tRNAs corresponding amino acid is attached (by aminoacyl-tRNA synthetases). tRNAs cope with the degeneracy of the genetic code in two manners: having more than one tRNA (with a specific anti-codon) for a particular amino acid; and 'wobble' base-pairing, i.e. permitting non-standard base-pairing at the 3rd anti-codon position. The record is from Rfam by way of RNAcentral. Lineage: Eukaryota; Metazoa; Chordata; Mammalia; Rodentia; Muridae.